This is a long non-coding RNA of Cotesia glomerata, 919 nucleotides long. RefSeq lists it as uncharacterized. The record is from RefSeq and is a predicted model, not a curated record. The transcript has 3 exons. Lineage: Eukaryota; Metazoa; Arthropoda; Insecta; Hymenoptera; Braconidae.
CAUAACAAACAAUUAAACAUAACAUCAAGAUAAAUUUAAACAAAAACAAAGUAAAUAUCGGCACAUCACCAUCCAGUGGAAGCUUCAAAUCAAUAAUAAGUAAAUCCGGACUAUGGCUAUUAAUAAGAUUAUACAAGGACAGUUCAGUUUGAUUCCGUUGAAAAGCGUCGAAGUCAACGAAGAAAACACCGCCAUUGAGUUUCUACUCUUUCCAGUCGUCAACUGUUCCAUUGUUAUCAAGACUAUACAAAUUAACAACAUAGCACUAGGAACCUGGAAUCUCCAAGCCAGGAACCUGCCGAACCACGACACAAUCCGGGUGGAUGAUGUGAUAAAUAUUAUUCUGUUGAUGGCCGUCAACUCUUUGUGUUUGAACAACGUCAGCGAUAAUUUUGUAAUGUAGAUAAAUUCAUCAUCAUCCACAAAUUCCAUGCAUAUUGUUUUAGAGCUCCUACUGUAUUGAACGUCGUUGUAGGACUCUUUCCAAACCAAGUCAAUCUGUUUGGAAAAGCAAGUCGAUGAAGGAUUAUUGUGAUACAUCUUAGGUAUUAGUAUUUUGUGUUUGAAUGUAAAUGAGUCGUUGUACAUCGGGACUCGCUUGAUUCUAGUAUUGCAAUUGAUAUCUUCUUUCUUUUCUUCUUCGCUGGAUAAGAGUCAUCUUUAAAAGAAUCAGCACGAAAUAAAACCAGCAAGGUAAUUGAAAGAAAUAACAACAUCUGAACGAGUGUAGUAAGCAGUGCAAUCUAUGUGACAAAGAAGACGGUGAUGUUUUUAUAUUUCCUAAGAAAAAUGUUAGAUUAUAAACAAAUAUUAUUCCCUAUUAAGAGUUCUUGAUAAUUAUAUGAAAUUUUUAUAUAUAAACAAAAAUGUAACAAAGUUUGUAGAACAGAAUGGCAAAAAAAAUUAGAAAAAAAAAAUU